AGUGAACGCUGGCGGUAGGCCUAACACAUGCAAGUCGAACGGCAGCACAGUAAGAGCUUGCUCUUACGGGUGGCGAGUGGCGGACGGGUGAGGAAUACAUCGGCAUCUACUUUUUCGUGGGGGAUAACGUAGGGAAACUUACGCUAAUACCGCAUACGACCUACGGGUGAAAGCAGGGGAUCUUCGGACCUUGCGCGAUUGAAUGAGCCGAUGUCGGAUUAGCUAGUUGGCGGGGUAAAGGCCCACCAAGGCGACGUUCCGUAGCUGGUCUGAGGGGAUGACCGGCACAACUGGAACGGGGAAACGGCCCAGACUCCUACGGGAGGCAGCGGUGGGGAAUAUUGGAAAAGGGGCGCAAGCCGGAUCCAGCCAUACCGCGUGGGUGAAGAAGGCCUUCGGGUGGUAAAGCCCUUUUGUUGGGAAAGAAAAGCAGCAGGUUAAUACCGCGCUGUUCUGACGGUACCAAAAGAAUAAGCACCGGCUAACUUCGU
This 491-nucleotide ribosomal RNA is filed under the name uncultured bacterium. RNAcentral describes it as "partial 16S ribosomal RNA". It matches the Rfam family "Bacterial small subunit ribosomal RNA", at positions 29 to 506 of the family's 1533-position model. The record is from RNAcentral.